UACAGAGGUGGCAAGCGUUGUUCGGAAUUACUGGGCGUAAAGGGCGCGUAGGUGGCCUUCUUAGUCAGACGUGAAAUCCCCGGGCUUAACUCGGGAACUGCGUCUGAUACUGGAAGGCUGGAGUUCGGGAGAGGAAUGUGGAAUUCCCGGUGUAGCGGUGAAAUGCGCAGAUAUCGGGAGGAACACCAAUGGCGAAGGCAGCUCGCUGGGACGUGACUGACGCUGAGACGCGAAAGCGUGGGGAGCAAACAGG
This 253-nucleotide ribosomal RNA is filed under the name uncultured bacterium. Its description in RNAcentral is "partial 16S ribosomal RNA". It matches the Rfam family "Bacterial small subunit ribosomal RNA", at positions 524 to 776 of the family's 1533-position model. The record is from RNAcentral.